Small nucleolar RNA from Diospyros lotus (date-plum), 73 nucleotides. The record is from RefSeq and is a predicted model, not a curated record. Lineage: Eukaryota; Viridiplantae; Streptophyta; Magnoliopsida; Ericales; Ebenaceae.
AAAGUGCCAGUGAUGGGUUUAAAUAUACUAUGAGUGUUCACCACUAUGAACAGAACCUAAUCUGAGGCACCUC